Molecule: small RNA, 607 nt
Filed under: Pongo abelii (Sumatran orangutan)
Lineage: Eukaryota; Metazoa; Chordata; Mammalia; Primates; Hominidae
Description: retained intron
Source: RNAcentral
UGUAUGAGUUUGAUGGGCUUUCUCCACCAAAUGAUCCUUUCCCAUCUGUGAUUUUCUCUCCUGUAGACUGAUUAAAUACUUCUUAAUAUCUGCAGUAACAAGCACAGUGUAUGCAGUAUAUGCUAUUCUUUCAGGGCAGGCCUAGUAAUCAGCGGGACUGUUCAGUUCUUAGGGCGGCCACAGUUUUGCCUGCCAUUGUAGUUCUUUAUACUUCUCUUGGUUUUUACUUUGUGUAUAUUUUCGUUUAAGCGUUAAAUGAGAUGGAAGACAUCGUCCAAGAAGAUGGAGAGGUGGUGGCCGAGAGUGGAAAUAAUACUCCAGCUCACAGCCAGGCAAUUAUUCCUGUGGAUGUUGAUGAGGAACAAGCAGGACCCAGUGGUCUUCAGCGUGUAGUAAAACCAACCCCAAUUACUGUUCAUGAUUCAGAGAGUGAUGAUGAAGAAGAUAGUCUAGAACUCCAAGAAGUCUGGAUUCCUAAGAAUGGUACUCGGCGUUACCCUGAACGUGAAGAAAAAACUGGAGAGUCAGUGCAGUCCAGAGAAUUGUCAGUAAGUGGAAAAGGCAAGACUCCACUUCGAAAGAGGUACAACUCCCAUCAGAUGGGCCA